AACAGAGAAAGAAAUACAUUUCAAACGAACUUUUUAUACUUUCAGCUUUUAGAAAGGGACUAAAUAACGAGGUUUAAUACACCAUGAGUCUUCUUUCGCUACUGCUCUGCGUCUCUCAUUCUGCUGCUAUACACCCGAAUAUUACUACGGCGCGUCACCCGGCAUCAAACGUCGAAUCGGUUUGGUUUUACCCCGGUGCUGCUGGUGCUUGGUGCAUAUAACUGCAACUGCAACCGUACGAGUUCUUCAUCUUUGUACAAACGCGGUUCUCUGCCUAUGCCGUUCGUUCGGUUGCCUUUGCCGUCAUUUUUUUUCUUCUUCUAGUCCUAUUUGCUCAUGAACGAUUGCUUCAUCGGGUUUGCGUAUGUAUAUAAUUUACGAAUACCUAGUAUGUUUUCGCCUUCAAUAGUGUACAUAGCAUUCCGCUGUCUUCUCUAUAUGUCUCUAUGUAGCGUAGCGUAUUUUGCUCGACGAUGCGCUCGUAGUCUAUUUUUAUUUUGCAGCAGUUUCUAGUCGCUGUGGUCGUCUUCGUCGUCGUUGCCGUUGCCGUCAUCGUUGCAUACGUACUUCCACUAAAAAUAUCGACAGAAAUCGAUUUAUCAUCUUCGAUUUACACAGCCAGUUUGCUUUUCCUGCGCAGGUAAGUAAUACAUCAUUUUCUAGUAUUUUUAGUAGGUAUUAUUCUAAGAUGUAUCUGGUUUUGAAAAAAUAAAAUUCGUCGAUACCAAA
Molecule: long non-coding RNA, 729 nt
Organism: Planococcus citri (citrus mealybug)
Lineage: Eukaryota; Metazoa; Arthropoda; Insecta; Hemiptera; Pseudococcidae
Exons: 2
Source: RefSeq, a predicted model, not a curated record